AUUCCAGCUCCAAUAGCGUAUAUUAAAGUUGUUGCAGUUAAAAAGCUCGUAGUUGGAUUUCUGGUAUAAUGCGCCUGGCCCGCCACGGUUACGUGUGAGAGUGCCGGUGCGCGUUUGCCAUCCUUCUAGUAAACGAUUCUGCACUUUACUGUGCGGAUUCGCGAACUAGAACUUUUACUUUGAAAAAAUUAGAGUGUUUAAAGCAGGCAAUUGCUGUGAAUACAUUAGCAUGGAAUAAUGAUCUAGGACUUCGGUUCUAUUUUGUUGGUUUCUAGCACUGAGGUAAUGAUUGAUAGGGAUAGUUGGGGGUGCUAGUAUUUAGAGGCCAGAGGUGAAAUUCUUGGAUUCUCUAGAGACUAACUUAUGCGAAAGCAUUCACCAAGGAUGUCUUCAUUA
This 396-nucleotide ribosomal RNA is filed under the name Protaspa sp. RNAcentral's name for it is "partial small subunit ribosomal RNA". It matches the Rfam family "Eukaryotic small subunit ribosomal RNA", at positions 582 to 975 of the family's 1831-position model. The record is from RNAcentral. Lineage: Eukaryota; Cercozoa; Thecofilosea; Cryomonadida; Protaspidae.